UGAGCUUAUGAGAGGAACUGUGGA
RNAcentral lists this non-coding RNA (24 nucleotides) under Mus musculus (house mouse). The record is from RNAcentral. Lineage: Eukaryota; Metazoa; Chordata; Mammalia; Rodentia; Muridae.